GGUUCCAUAGUGUAGUGGUUAGCACAUCUGCUUUACAUGCAGAAGGUCCUGGGUUCGCGCCCCAGUGGAGCCA
Molecule: transfer RNA, 73 nt
Filed under: Pteropus alecto (black flying fox)
Lineage: Eukaryota; Metazoa; Chordata; Mammalia; Chiroptera; Pteropodidae
Rfam family: tRNA
About the family: Transfer RNA (tRNA) molecules are approximately 80 nucleotides in length. Their secondary structure includes four short double-helical elements and three loops (D, anti-codon, and T loops).
Source: Rfam by way of RNAcentral